RNAcentral lists this non-coding RNA (29 nucleotides) under Rattus norvegicus (Norway rat). Lineage: Eukaryota; Metazoa; Chordata; Mammalia; Rodentia; Muridae. The record is from RNAcentral.
UACCUAGUCUUUCAUAGGCCCUUUAACUA